RNAcentral lists this ribosomal RNA (482 nucleotides) under uncultured bacterium. RNAcentral's name for it is "partial 16S ribosomal RNA". It matches the Rfam family "Bacterial small subunit ribosomal RNA", at positions 30 to 507 of the family's 1533-position model. The record is from RNAcentral.
AUUGAACGCUGGCGGCAUGCUCUACACAUGCAAGUCGAACGGUAACAGGCCGCAAGGUGCUGACGAGUGGCGAACGGGUGAGUAAUGCAUCGGAACGUGCCCAGUCGUGGGGGUUAACUACUCGAAAGAGUAGCUAAUACCGCAUACGAUCUAUGGAUGAAAGCGGGGGACCGUAAGGCCUCGCGCGAUUGGAGCGGCCGAUGUCAGAUUAGGUAGUUGGUGGGGUAAAGGCUCACCAAGCCAACGAUCUGUAGCUGGUCUGAGAGGACGACCAGCCACACUGGGACUGAGACACGGCCCAGACUCCUACGGGAGGCAGCAGUGGGGAAUUUUGGACAAUGGGCGCAAGCCUGAUCCAGCAAUGCCGCGUGCAGGAAGAAGGCCUUCGGGUUGUAAACUGCUUUUGUACGGAACGAAACGGCUCUGGUUAAUACCCGGGGCUAAUGACGGUACCGUAAGAAUAAGCACCGGCUAACUACGUG